Molecule: transfer RNA, 73 nt
Filed under: Ganoderma calidophilum
Lineage: Eukaryota; Fungi; Basidiomycota; Agaricomycetes; Polyporales; Polyporaceae
Description: tRNA-Met
Rfam family: tRNA
About the family: Transfer RNA (tRNA) molecules are approximately 80 nucleotides in length. Their secondary structure includes four short double-helical elements and three loops (D, anti-codon, and T loops).
Source: RNAcentral
GCUGAUAUAGUUUAACAGGUAAAAACUUAUCAUUCAUGACGAUAAAAUAAAAGUUCAAUUCUUUUUAUCAGCU